Molecule: long non-coding RNA, 717 nt
Filed under: Gossypium barbadense (sea-island cotton)
Lineage: Eukaryota; Viridiplantae; Streptophyta; Magnoliopsida; Malvales; Malvaceae
Description: long non-coding RNA (GBAR_LNC011146)
Source: RNAcentral
GGGUCAGGAGAUGAACACAUCAUGUUGAGUUGCAAAACCAGCUAAAGGACUCGCAUUGGCUAAAAAAACAGUAGUAAUAAUAAUAAAGAAAUAAUUUCAUUCCCAUACAUGUGUUGCUGCAUAAAAAAAAUAAAUUGUUAGAAGCAAGCGGAUCUUGCCUCCUUGCAGAACCUAAUCAACAAGACAGCAAUAACAAGAAGAAGACGAGACAAGUUAAAAGCAAAUGAUUCAUUAAUACAAGGCAUUGAAUGUAGUACCACCGUGCGCAUUAUUAUAUAAUAUUUGUAUAUAUGGAUAUUAUGGCAUUGAAAACUAGUAGUGUAAUUUGUUGCUACCGAAGGGUGAUGAGUUGUUGUGAUUGUGGAGAGCAGACACAGCAGAAGCAUUUUGGCGAUAGUUAUGGGGAUCGAGAUCAUGUUAGCUCAUGUUGCUUGCUUCCAAUUGAUAUUUAAAAUGGUUGAGAUUCCUCGUGUCUGCCCUCAACCUGUAAUAUAUAUGUUGAGCAGAUGGUAAGGGGACUACAGCAAAUAGCUAAGCAGAGUUGAAAACACAUAUCGCUUUUGCAUACCAAGAAAAUGGCAGCCUCUUACCAUGCUCGAUCAAACAGCUUGCCCACAAGGCAACACCCCAUCGUUUCACAAAUCGACGAGAACUUGAACCGAUUGAGGGCAUCUCAAUCAGCCUCCACAUCAUCAUCCAUAGGCCACAAUCUAAGUG